Molecule: ribosomal RNA, 666 nt
Filed under: uncultured bacterium
Lineage: Bacteria
Description: partial 16S ribosomal RNA
Rfam family: Bacterial small subunit ribosomal RNA
Source: RNAcentral
UGCAGUCGANGAGANNCACACCGUUCGUAAGANCAGUGUGGGGACAGUGNNNNNNGGGUGCGUAACACGUGAGGAACCUGCCCUGAAGACCGGGAUAGCCCAGGGAAACUUGGAUUAAUACCGGAUACCUUCACCGGACCGCAUGGCCUGGUGAAGAAAUGGUCUGCCGCUUCAGGAUGGCCUCGCGGCCUAUCAGCUUGUUGGUGAGGUAACGGCUCACCAAGGCAACGACGGGUAGCUGGUCUGAGAGGACGAUCAGCCACACUGGGACUGAGACACGGCCCAGACUCCUACGGGAGGCAGCAGCAGGGAAUAUUGCACAAUGGGCGAAAGCCUGAUGCAGCGACGCCGCGUGCGGNAUGAAGGCCUUCGGGUUGUAAACCGCUUUCAGGAGGGACGAAAAUGACGGUACCUCCAGAAGAAGCCCCGGCCAACCACGUGCCAGCAGCCGCGGUAACACGUAGGGGGCGAGCGUUGUCCGGAUUUAUUGGGCGUAAAGGGCUCGUAGGCGGCUUGNAAAGUCGGCCGUGAAAACCCGGGGCUCAACCCCGGGACGCCGGUCGAAACUUCCAUGGCUAGUGUCCGGUAGAGGUGAGUGGAAUUCUCGGUGUAGCGNNGAAAUGCGCAGAUNUCGAGAGGAACACCANNNNCGAAGGCNGNUCACUG